CUUGGUCAUUUAGAGGAAGUAAAAGUCGUAACAAGGUUUCCGUAGGUGAACCUGCGGAAGGAUCAUUAAUGAUUGACCGAAAAGGUCUUAUCUUAACAUCCCUCACCUCUGUGAACCGUUUGACCUCCGGGUCUAGCAAUACAAACAUCAGUGUAAUGAACGUCUUGUUAUCUUAACAAAACAAAACUUUUAACAACGGAUCUCUUGGCUCUCGCAUCGAUGAAGAACGCAGCGAAUUGCGAUAAGUAAUGUGAAUUGCAGAAUUCAGUGAAUCAUCGAAUCUUUGAACGCACCUUGCGCCUUUUGGUAUUCCGAAAGGCAUGCCUGUUUGAGUGUCAUGAAAUCUCAAUCCCAUCUGGUUUAUGAUCAGGUGUGGACUUGGACAUGGGCGUCUGCCGGUUACACGGCUCGCCUCAAAUGACUUAGUGGGAUCACUUGCAUCCGUGACAGACGUAAUAAGUUUCGUCUUGUCCCUUGCCUGUGUAAGCCUGCUCACAACCUGCCUUUGCGCAUUUUUUGACUCUGACCUCAAAUCAGGUAGGACUACCCGCUGAACUUAAGCAUAUCAAUAAGCGGAGGAAAAGAAACUAACAAGGAUUCCCCUAGUAACGGCGAGUGAACCGGGAAAAGCUCAAAUUUGAAAUCUGGCGUGCUCAGUGCGUCCGAGUUGUAAUCUAUAGAGGCGUUUUCCGUGCUGGACCGUGUCCAAGUCCCUUGGAACAGGGUAUCAAAGAGGGUGACAAUCCCGUACUUGACACGACGACCAGUGCUUUGUGAUACGUCUUCUACGAGUCGAGUUGUUUGGGAAU
This 809-nucleotide small RNA is filed under the name uncultured Cryptococcus. RNAcentral's name for it is "eukaryotic LSU rRNA". The stretch from base 524 to 809 matches the Rfam family "Eukaryotic large subunit ribosomal RNA", at positions 1 to 281 of the family's 3401-position model. The record is from RNAcentral. Lineage: Eukaryota; Fungi; Basidiomycota; Tremellomycetes.